AUUGAACGCUGGCGGCAUGCCUUACACAUGCAAGUCGAACGGCAGCACGGGUGCUUGCACCUGGUGGCGAGUGGCGAACGGGUGAGUAAUACAUCGGAACGUACCUUAUCGUGGGGGAUAACGCAGCGAAAGCUGUGCUAAUACCGCAUACGCCCUGAGGGGGAAAGCGGGGGAUCGCAAGACCUCGCGCGAUUAGAGCGGCCGAUGCCUGAUUAGCUUGUUGGUGGGGUAAAAGCCCACCAAGGCGACGAUCAGUAGCUGGUCUGAGAGGACGAUCAGCCACACUGGGACUAAGACACGGCCCAGACUCCUACGGGAGGCAGCAGUGGGGAAUUUUGGACAAUGGGGGCAACCCUGAUCCAGCAAUGCCGCGUGAGUGAAGAAGGCCUUCGGGUUGUAAAGCUCUUUUGUCAGGGAAGAAACACCGGCUCUAACACAGUCCGGGAAUGACGGUACCUGAAGAAUAAGCACCGGCUAACUACGUGCCAGCAGCCGCCGUAA
RNAcentral lists this ribosomal RNA (501 nucleotides) under uncultured bacterium. RNAcentral's name for it is "partial 16S ribosomal RNA". It matches the Rfam family "Bacterial small subunit ribosomal RNA", at positions 30 to 523 of the family's 1533-position model. The record is from RNAcentral.